UACCUGUUGGACAGAAGUGGACACCUCUGUGCGUGGGCUUGGCGAUGNCAGAUGUUUCCCCACAUAGGUUCCUUGAACAAUGCUGCGUCGGAGAGGAGGGGUGGAGGGAAAGUGAGCUUGCCACUGAUGAAGGUGAAACAAUGUAAUAGGACAACUGCCUGGAACACUGAAGAAUCACAAAUUCAGUCCCCAAAAGAAGACAGUGACAAACCUGUUCUAUAUCUAUCAAGAAAAUGCCAUGCAGAUAUUCGUGUAGCUACCAGCAGUUGACCCAACUCACAAAACCAAAANCCACACAUUUUCUGCCAAAUGGCACUCAGAACAACACAAAACAAACAUGGUUCUACUUUGCUGAAAUUAAUCACGGAGACAAACAGAAUGUAAAAGAAGUGAAGUUUGAGGAAUGCAACUUUAAAAAAAAAGAAAGGAUGAGGAAGAAUUUGCACAGAAAGAGGGAUGUCUGAAGGAUAUACAUCUCUAGCUUGUUGGCAUGUUUUAUUACCAUAUGCAGAAUAAAUUCUUCCUUUAUCUUGCA
This 535-nucleotide long non-coding RNA is filed under the name Salvator merianae (Argentine black and white tegu). RNAcentral describes it as "lncRNA (ENSSMRG00000022259.1)". Lineage: Eukaryota; Metazoa; Chordata; Lepidosauria; Squamata; Teiidae. The record is from RNAcentral.